AACAAAUUAGUUCUGCUGACAAAGGAUCAGGAGGAGCUGAAUGUCGCCCACAAACUUUCCUCUGAAGAUGCUGACGAGCUGCAACAAAGACUGCCAGUAGAGCUGACGGUAACCAGAAAGGGCCAAGAGGUUAUGAAGUUGCUGAAAGCUCCACCUCCUCUGGAUGAAAAUUUUAUUAAUCGUUUGAAUGAGAGCAUCAGUACUUCUUCACAGAGAGCUGCUGAAAAUGAUCCAGGACUUGAACAGAAAGAGGGACAAGUAGUUUCAGUACAACAGCAAAGCACAGAUGAGCCUGAAAGAAAUGAUGAGGAAUGUCAGGCUUCAGAAAACACCUCUCUUCUUCUGGAGAAGCCAAGCUCCUCCUCCUCGACCUCUAACAUGGAGAU
This is a long non-coding RNA of Pygocentrus nattereri (red-bellied piranha), 386 nucleotides long. RefSeq lists it as uncharacterized. The record is from RefSeq and is a predicted model, not a curated record. The transcript is spliced from 3 exons. Lineage: Eukaryota; Metazoa; Chordata; Actinopteri; Characiformes; Serrasalmidae.